This 327-nucleotide ribosomal RNA is filed under the name Escherichia coli. Its description in RNAcentral is "bacterial SSU rRNA". It matches the Rfam family "Bacterial small subunit ribosomal RNA", at positions 1098 to 1427 of the family's 1533-position model. Lineage: Bacteria; Pseudomonadati; Pseudomonadota; Gammaproteobacteria; Enterobacterales; Enterobacteriaceae. The record is from RNAcentral.
GCAACCCUUUUCCUUUUUUUGCCAGCGGUCCCGGCCGGGAACUCAAAGGAGAUUGCCAGUGAUAAACUGGAGGAAGGUGGGGAUGACGUCAAGUCAUCAUGGCCCUUACGACCAGGGCUACACACGUGCUACAAUGGCGCAUACAAAGAGAAGCGACCUCGCGAGAGCAAGCGGACCUCUUAAAGUGCGUCGUAGUCCGGAUUGGAGUCUGCAACUCGACUCCAUGAAGUCGGAAUCGCUAGUAAUCGUGGAUCAGAAGGCCACGGUGAAUACGUUCCCGGGCCUUGUACACACCGCCCGUCACACCAUGGGAGUGGGUGCAAAAGA